Molecule: ribosomal RNA, 203 nt
Filed under: uncultured bacterium
Lineage: Bacteria
Description: partial 16S ribosomal RNA
Rfam family: Bacterial small subunit ribosomal RNA
Source: RNAcentral
ACGCUCGACACCUACGUGAGGCAGCAGUUGGGAAUAUUGGACAAUGGAGGAAACUCUGAUCCAGUGACGCCGCGUGAAGGAAGAAGGUCUUCGGAUUGUAAACUUAUUUUGUCAGGGAAGAAAAAAUGACUGUACCUGAAGAAAAAGCACCGGCUAACUACGUGCCNGCAGCCGCGGUAAUCUGAGGCGGGCGUGGCGAAGGC